CAAACUACACAUACAAAUGUGAAAUCUUCACACUUUGAAAUACAAAUCGGACAGCUUUUUGUCACAGAUUGUGCUAUUGAAAUGUAAAGGUCUGAGUGAAGUUAGUUUAGUUAAAAGCCUGCCUGUGGAGGAUGCUAUUAAGUGAAUUGAAAUGAACCAACAUGUAAACAAUAUAAAGUGAAGCGAAUAAUAUAAUGCAAAAGAAUGAAUGGACUGAUAUAAAGCCACUCAAGCGAAAAUUGGAAUGGAAAUUAAAAACUCAAACAUGACAAACUCUGACAAAUCAAGCACCAAACGAAAUAAAAGUAGAAAACCUAUCAAAAUUAGAGAAGUUGUGGAGGAAAAGAAAGUCAAACAGUGGAAUUGAGCAGCCUUUGGCUUGCAGUUAUAAGCUAAACACCUGAAUCGUUUUAAGUCUUGGACGAAAAAUAGCACUAAAUUUAAUAUAGAAGAACCGGCAUCUUCCAAAUAGAUAUUUUUUCCCUGAAUAAACCAAAUGUAUGCACAAAGAAA
Molecule: long non-coding RNA, 513 nt
Organism: Dendroctonus ponderosae (mountain pine beetle)
Lineage: Eukaryota; Metazoa; Arthropoda; Insecta; Coleoptera; Curculionidae
Exons: 2
Source: RefSeq, a predicted model, not a curated record